This 62-nucleotide transfer RNA is filed under the name Lamprolepis smaragdina. RNAcentral's name for it is "tRNA-Cys". Lineage: Eukaryota; Metazoa; Chordata; Lepidosauria; Squamata; Scincidae. The record is from RNAcentral.
AGCCUUGGCACACCUUCGUGUGCGUCUCUAGAUUUGCAUUCUAGCGUGAACCACUACAAGAC